ACAAUUCCGCUCAUCUCUAGUUUUAGCACGUAGUUGAUUGUUUCCACGCUCCACGUUUUUAUUAUAUUGUUGAUAACAGCGGUCGCAUCGAAAUGCGAAAACUGUGCGCGUUGAGGAAAUAGAUGCCAUAUGUAGAUACUCGGAGAUUGGCAAGGCAGCUGGAGCUUGUCUUUUGGACAGUUUGAAGGCGAGAAUUAUAAUGCACAAAUGUAUUUAUUUCUACGAGUACAUAUGUACAUGCAAAUGUCAAAACUCAAGGGCUAUCAUUAGAUACGGACAAUUAGAAACAAAGCCUCAUUAUUUGCAGCAGCAACAACAACAACAAAAACAACAACAACAACGGCAGCAUCAGCAGUUGAACCGCAAGCGAAUCACUUGAAAUGAAAUGCAGCCCAUAAAUAAAUCACAUCACAUUGGACCGCAUCUGUUUGGAUGGGAUCGAGUUUAUGCAACUGCAAAAUAAUCCAUUGUAAAGUGUCGAAAAAGUGCAAUUGAAAUGCAAAUCAAUGCAAAUCGAUACUUGAAUCAUCAUCAACAGCAACAGCGAUAAAUGAUUCAUGCCCCGCACGCGAGCCACAUUCAAAUGCAAAUGUGAAUGCAAAAAUUUGCAAGCAAACUCGAUUUUGGGUGGGUCUUUUAGGAGCUGAGAGCCGGCGGCUAAGGCUACCCGCUGAUGUGCGAACAAUCAAAUCAAAAUAAAAUGCACCGCACCACAAUAAAAACUGCAGUGCAAAAUAAACACAACAAACAAUGAGAUACACACAUAAGCACAAAGGUGAAUGCGGUGGCAGAUUUUUGCACUUCCGGUUAACUGUUGCUAAUUCGAUUAGAGAGUUAGAAACAAAGUUCUGAAAGGGCAGCCAAGGCAAGCGCACACGUUGUACACAUUUGUUGGCGCCGAUCUCAUUUUGGACUGGCAACUUAUGCAAAUGCUGCUGUGUGAUUCAUGUACGAGGUCUGCCUGGCAAGUUUACUCCUUGGGGACAAAUAAGUAUAUAGACAGUCGAGAUUCUCUAAAUUGAAUUGAAGAAUUUUUAGUUCGUUAAUCGUUUCACACGCGUUGCUCUUUUGUGCUUGUAUUGCCAGCACCGACGGCCUCUCACAUUCAAAUUCAAACUCAAUCAUAUCCUGUCAUAAGGCUCAAGCCUCUUUUGUGUGCCCAUCAGAACUUGUUUGUGCUUUAGCUUAACCCCUUUCAGCAUUGUGCCCUCGCUUCCUGAACUUAUCCCAUACAUUGUCAUGCUAAUUGCCGGCCAUGAGAAGGCUGAGAUUCGAAUCUGAGAGUUUAUUUUUGCUAGGAGACAGUCGACAGUCAGGUAAGAUUGUCGCUGAUCAAAUUGAAUUUGUUCAGGAUUCGUUUAGUCAGUUUGUUCUUAUAUGUCUUUGCGUGAAGUUCUUGUUUGAACUUGUGCGUAUACUAGAGAACUAAACAAAUAACCGAAUUGUGUUUUAGUAUAGUUUAACGAAAUGUUUAAAAUAAAUACGAAGUAAUUAUUUAAUUCUGCUUUAACGUUAAUAAAUUAUAGUCUUCGAAAAUUGA
Molecule: non-coding RNA, 1540 nt
Organism: Drosophila virilis
Lineage: Eukaryota; Metazoa; Arthropoda; Insecta; Diptera; Drosophilidae
Source: RefSeq, a predicted model, not a curated record